ACUUCGGGUAGCUGGGAGGCCAGGUGAGGGGCGCGCACGGGGGAGGGGCGUGCAUAGUUGAGACAGAAACCGGGAAGACCCAACUGUGGCGCGGCACUGCUUGACCGAGGGGCUCCGGAGCCCAGCUGCACCGGCUGCGGUUUGAGCGCCCAGGGCCGGGGUGCGGGGUGGACCGCGGCGGCCCUUCGACCAAAGGUGCUUGAAGCUCGAGCCCAUUACUUUCUGUGGACUCUGACUCGAGCUGCAAAAGCUUUUCUGCACUGUUUUUCUCAUCUAUGUUAUGAAGAUAAUAAUUCCGGCCCUAACCGUAGUAUGCUUGCGAGAAUCCAACAAUAUGAUGUUUCUGAAAGCGCCGGCUGAACUAAGAGCGCGUGAAAUAGAAUGACAGACAGCUCUGCAAGAACGAAGGCCCUAUUUUGUACCCAGCUGUACGGUGCUGGCGCCGAAAGACGUUCAAUAAAUACUUAUUGAAUGACGAAUACGCGUUAGGAGUUGCAAAAUAAGGACCUUUAGGUGUUCUAUUGUAAGUGAAGAUCUAAGAUUUUCCAAGUUACAACUGAAGAG
RNAcentral lists this small RNA (564 nucleotides) under Pan troglodytes (chimpanzee). RNAcentral's name for it is "processed transcript". Lineage: Eukaryota; Metazoa; Chordata; Mammalia; Primates; Hominidae. The record is from RNAcentral.